GAUACAGCAGAGUCAGCAAUUACGACGGCGUAUUAGGGCCACAUAAGAAAAUAAAAUCACUUGUCACUACGGGAAUAAAGUUUUAAAUAUCGAGAUAAAACCCGUAAUUUUAUGAAUAAAGUCACCUAUUUU
Molecule: long non-coding RNA, 132 nt
Organism: Sphaeramia orbicularis (orbiculate cardinalfish)
Lineage: Eukaryota; Metazoa; Chordata; Actinopteri; Kurtiformes; Apogonidae
Exons: 3
Source: RefSeq, a predicted model, not a curated record